This 470-nucleotide ribosomal RNA is filed under the name Streptococcus anginosus. RNAcentral describes it as "bacterial SSU rRNA". It matches the Rfam family "Bacterial small subunit ribosomal RNA", at positions 28 to 474 of the family's 1533-position model. Lineage: Bacteria; Bacillati; Bacillota; Bacilli; Lactobacillales; Streptococcaceae. The record is from RNAcentral.
GACGAACGCUGCCGGCGUGCUAAUACAUGCAAGUAGGACGGCACAGUUUAUACGUAGCUUGCUCCACCAUAGCCUGUAAGUUGCGACCGGUGAGUAACGCGUAGGUAACCUGCCUAUUAGAGGGGGAUAACUUAUUGGAAACGAUAGCUAAUACCGCAUAACAGUAUGUAACACAUGUUAGAUGCUUGAAAGAUGCAAUUGCAUCGCUAGUAGAUGGACCAGCGUUGUAUUAGCUAGUAGGUAGGGUAAUGGCCUACCUAGGCGACGAUACAUAGCCGACCUGAGAGGGUGAUCGGCCACACUGGGACUGAGACACGGCCCAGACUCCUACGGGAGGCGCAGUAGGGAAUCUUCGGCAAUGGGGGGAACCCUGACCGAGCAACGCCGCGUGAGUGAAGAAGGUUUUCGGAUCGUAAAGCUCUGUUGUUAAGGAAGAACGAGUGUGAGAAUGGAAAGUUCAUACUGUGACG